Molecule: ribosomal RNA, 327 nt
Filed under: uncultured eukaryote
Lineage: Eukaryota
Description: partial 18S ribosomal RNA
Rfam family: Eukaryotic small subunit ribosomal RNA
Source: RNAcentral
CCCUUAGAUGUCCUGGGCUGCACGCGCGCUACACUGAUGUGUCCAGUAAGCACCUAACCUCUUCCGAAAGGAACGGGUAACCUUUGCAAAGCACAUCGUGAUGGGGAUAGAUUAUUGCAAUUAUUAGUCUUGAACGAGGAAUUCCUAGUAAGCACAAGUCAUCAGCUUGUGUUGAUUACGUCCCUGCCCUUUGUACACACCGCCCGUCGCUACUACUGAUUGGGUGUUCAAGUGAGAUGCUUAGACCCUUGUUGCAUGGUUCAUUAUUGUGCUCCGAAAGGAAAAAGUUUCAAGCUUGAGUGUCUAGAGGAAGUAAAAGUCGUAACA